GACGAACGCUGGCGGCGUGCUUAACACAUGCAAGUCGAACGGUGAUGCUCCAGCUUGCUGGAGUGGAUCAGUGGCGAACGGGUGAGUAACACGUGAGCAACCUGCCCCAGACUCUGGAAUAAGCGCUGGAAACGGCGUCUAAUACUGGAUACGAAACUGGCCCGCAUGGGCAUGGUUUGGAAAGUUUUUCGGUUUGGGAUGGGCUCGCGGCCUAUCAGCUUGUUGGUGAGGUAAUGGCUCACCAAGGCGACGACGGGUAGCCGGCCUGAGAGGGCGACCGGCCACACUGGGACUGAGACACGGCCCAGACUCCUACGGGAGGCAGCAGUGGGGAAUAUUGCACAAUGGGCGAAAGCCUGAAGCAGCGACGCCGCGUGAGGGAUGACGGCCUUCGGGUUGUAAACCUCUUUCAGCAGGGAAGAAGCGAAAGUGACGGUACCUGCAGAAGAAGCACCGGCUAACUACGUG
Molecule: ribosomal RNA, 468 nt
Filed under: uncultured bacterium
Lineage: Bacteria
Description: partial 16S ribosomal RNA
Rfam family: Bacterial small subunit ribosomal RNA
Source: RNAcentral